AGCGGCGGAUGGGUGAGUAACACGUGGGGAACCUGCCCCUAAGUCUGGGAUACCAUUUGGAAACAGGUGCUAAUACCGGAUAAUAAAGCAGAUCGCAUGAUCAGCUUUUGAAAGGCGGCGUAAGCUGUCGCUAAGGGAUGGCCCCGCGGUGCAUUAGCUAGUUGGUAAGGUAACGGCUUACCAAGGCGACGAUGCAUAGCCGAGUUGAGAGACUGAUCGGCCACAUUGGGACUGAGACACGGCCCAAACUCCUACGGGAGGCAGCAGUAGGGAAUCUUCCACAAUGGACGCAAGUCUGAUGGAGCAACGCCGCGUGAGUGAAGAAGGUUUUCGGAUCGUAAAGCUCUGUUGUUGGUGAAGAAGGAUAGAGGUAGUAACUGGCCUUUAUUUGACGGUAAUCAACCAGAAAGUCACGGCUAACUACGUGCCAGCAGCCGCGGUAAUACGUAGGUGGCAAGCGUUGUCCGGAUUUAUUGGGCGUAAAGCGAGCGCAGGCGGAAAAAUAAGUCUAAUGUGAAAGCCCUCGGCUUAACCGAGGAACUGCAUCGGAAACUGUUUUUCUUGAGUGCAGAAGAGGAGAGUGGAACUCCAUGUGUAGCGGUGGAAUGCGUAGAUAUAUGGAAGAACACCAGUGGCGAAGGCGGCUCUCUGGUCCGCAACUGACGCUGAGGCUCGAAAGCAUGGGUAGCGAACAGGAUUAGAUACCCUGGUAGUCCAUGCCGUAAACGAUGAGUGCUAAGUGU
This 743-nucleotide ribosomal RNA is filed under the name uncultured bacterium. RNAcentral's name for it is "bacterial SSU rRNA". It matches the Rfam family "Bacterial small subunit ribosomal RNA", at positions 94 to 823 of the family's 1533-position model. The record is from RNAcentral.